AUUUUCCCCCCUCCCAACCAAGGAUGGCAAACGCCUGAUUAUCUUAUGUCUCAUAAGAUUAUCCUGUUGUGUGAGGUGUGUUAAGAGUCAAUUUGUCCUGAUAAUCUGCUAGGUAAAGGGUAGGGGUCGACAGUAAAUAUUAAACUUUUUCAAUAUUUCCGGUCAAAAAUCCUCGUGUGUGGGGAAAGUCGACGACCUCCAAGUCCUGACUCCGUGAAUUGUGACGUGGAACGGACGUGGAACGGAGUCAGAGAGCUGACUGAGGAACAAGGAAGCAGACAUAGGAAAUAAACAAGUAAGCAUGGCCGACCCGAAGCACAGAGGUGGACGUCGGAAAUGGAGGACCAGCUCGUAGAUCUGUGGAAAAUACAGGAAUGUUUAUAUAAUAUCUCCGCCAAGUUGUAUCACAACAGGAAUGACAAGGGCAAGAGUUGGUGAAGAAAUUGCCAGUGCCAUGGAGUUAUCAGUGGAAGAAGUAUGUGCAAAAGCCACAUCAUUAAGGACCCAGUAUUCCAAAGUACUGAAAAGCAAACCCAGUGGGAGUGGAGAGAUGGCCUUGACGGGAAAGCAAAAGUAGAUGCUCAAGUUCCUGUCCUUCUUGAAAACACACGUCAUCCAACGUGCUACAGAGGCCAGUCUUCCCACCUCCAUGAAAGAUACCCUGGCUGCAGAGAAGCUUCCAAGUGAUGAAGAUGAAGUGCCCGAGCUGUCAGAAGAUCCGAAGUCAGCAAGUGCCUCUCAGUCUCGAUCAUCUAGAGUCAAGCGGCAGAUCGUGACGGCUUUAUAUGAGACUCAGGAAUCUACAUACCAUCCACAACCCUCCUCUCUAAACACACACACACAAGCACUACCUCUCCAUGUACCUCCACCUUUUCAAACCUAUACACACAUACAAGCACUACCUCAUCAAUACCAGCCUCAUCUCAGUCAGACUAGCUUCCAGAGAAUGCUAGAGAGUGAUGACGACACAUCACAGGGGCAGUUGGAGCAGUAUUAACGGAGUAUUAAAAAACAAAAAAAAAAAAAAA
Non-coding RNA from Epinephelus lanceolatus (giant grouper), 1028 nucleotides. NCBI's taxonomy places the organism in Eukaryota, Metazoa, Chordata, Actinopteri, Perciformes, Serranidae. The record is from RefSeq and is a predicted model, not a curated record.